Molecule: ribosomal RNA, 253 nt
Filed under: uncultured bacterium
Lineage: Bacteria
Description: partial 16S ribosomal RNA
Rfam family: Bacterial small subunit ribosomal RNA
Source: RNAcentral
CACGUAGGUGGCAAGCGUUAUCCGGAAUUACUGGGCGUAAAGGGUCCGCAGGUGGGAAGGUAAGUCUGAUGUGACAGCGCCCGGCUCAACUGGGCGUGGCCAUUGGAAACUGCCAUUCUUGAGUCACGCAGAGGGGUGCGGAAUUCCGGGUGUAGUGGUGGAAUGCGUAGAGAUCCGGAGGAACACCAAAGGCGCAAGCAGCACCCUGGGCGAGGACUGACACUGAGGGACGAAAGCAUGGGGAGCAAACAGG